RNAcentral lists this ribosomal RNA (460 nucleotides) under uncultured bacterium. RNAcentral's name for it is "partial 16S ribosomal RNA". It matches the Rfam family "Bacterial small subunit ribosomal RNA", at positions 338 to 795 of the family's 1533-position model. The record is from RNAcentral.
CCUACGGGCGGCAGCAGUGAGGAAUAUUGGUCAAUGGACGAGAGUCUGAACCAGCCAAGUAGCGUGAAGGAUGACUGCCCUAUGGGUUGUAAACUUCUUUUAUAUGGGAAUAAAAUGUUCCACGUGUGGGAUUUUGUAUGUACCAUAUGAAUAAGGAUCGGCUAACUCCGUGCCAGCAGCCGCGGUAAUACGGAGGAUCCGAGCGUUAUCCGGAUUUAUUGGGUUUAAAGGGAGCGUAGGUGGAUUGUUAAGUCAGUUGUGAAAGUUUGCGGCUCAACCGUAAAAUUGCAGUUGAAACUGGCAGUCGUGAGUACAGUAGAGGUGUGCGGAAUUCGUGGUGUAGCGGUGAAAUGCUUAGAUAUCACGAAGAACUCCGAUUGCGAAGGCAGCUCACUGGACUGCAACUGACACUGAGGCUCGAAAGUGUGGGUAUCAAACAGGAUUAGAUACCCCAGUAGUC